GCGCCAGUAGCUCAGUUGGAUAGAGUGUUUGGCUACGAACCAAAUGACCUUAUCGUUUGGCGCA
RNAcentral lists this transfer RNA (64 nucleotides) under Massiliimalia timonensis. It matches the Rfam family "tRNA". Rfam says of the family: Transfer RNA (tRNA) molecules are approximately 80 nucleotides in length. The record is from Rfam by way of RNAcentral. Lineage: Bacteria; Bacillati; Bacillota; Clostridia; Eubacteriales; Oscillospiraceae.